CUGCAUUUUUAUGCAUGCUCAAAUCUUUACAGUUUUUGCAUAAAAUAAAUGUAUUCUAAAAUGCUACACUAUAGGCCUGCCUCCUUAGCCGCACCCCCUCACUCCAGAAGAAGACUUCCUUAUACAUACUAAAAAAAUGUACACGGCUCAGCCACUGACAGCACUGAAUGGUCUGAACUACAAAGCAACCUGCAUUUAGAAGGAGAGGACACCCAGGGAGACUUAUAGUAAGG
This is a non-coding RNA of Pelobates cultripes (western spadefoot toad), 233 nucleotides long. NCBI's taxonomy places the organism in Eukaryota, Metazoa, Chordata, Amphibia, Anura, Pelobatidae. The record is from the annotation of a GenBank genome assembly.